This 93-nucleotide ribosomal RNA is filed under the name Amanita vernicoccora. Its description in RNAcentral is "partial 28S ribosomal RNA". It matches the Rfam family "Eukaryotic large subunit ribosomal RNA", at positions 1 to 92 of the family's 3401-position model. The record is from RNAcentral. Lineage: Eukaryota; Fungi; Basidiomycota; Agaricomycetes; Agaricales; Amanitaceae.
UUGACCUCAAAUCAAGCAAGAUUACCCGCUGAACUUAAGCAUAUCAAUAAGCGGAGGAAAAGAAACUAACAAGGAUUCCCCUAGUAACUGCGA